Molecule: long non-coding RNA, 649 nt
Filed under: Rattus norvegicus (Norway rat)
Lineage: Eukaryota; Metazoa; Chordata; Mammalia; Rodentia; Muridae
Description: long non-coding RNA NONRATT025373
Source: RNAcentral
CGGGCGUCUAGCGUAUCCGCUCCUUCCGCUUUCCCAGCAGGCUCCGCGCGGCGCCUGCGUGCUCUGUGACCUUUCCCAUUCUGUCGCGGAAUCUAGUGUGGCCUUGAUCCCGCUGAGAUGCUUCAAAGCUUUAUUAAGAAGGUCUGGGUCCCCAUGAAACCCUACUAUACCCAGGUUUACCAGGAAAUUUGGGUAGGAGUGGGGUUGAUGUCCCUCAUCGUUUAUAAAAUCAGGAGUGCUGAUAAAAGAAGUAAAGCUCUGAAAGGCUGCAGUCCUGCGCAUGCCCAUGGCCAUCACUAACUGCUCCCCCAGUCCACUCAGGAUGAAUACGUCAGCUGAACUUAAGCAAGCUGUGUAGAUGGGAACAUGGAACAUCACUGUACAGUUACCUAAGUACCGUUUACAAUGUGGCAUUAAUAAAUGUGUCUGAGAAGCACCACUCCCUGUGAAUACCACUGUCUGCUCCCCUGAAUAAAUCCUUGGUAAAGCGGCCGGCUCCAUCAGAACCUCUGAGACGACUUCCUUAGGGAUCCUGAGGACCAAGAAGCAGUGUUUGCUGCCCUAAGAUUGGACAUCAGGAUCUAGUGUUAACUUUGAUAUUAUUAACUAAUAAUAUUCAAUAAUUAUUUGCCAAAUGGUUUUGCUUCUG